UCGUGGGAUUUAUGCAGUUAA
This 21-nucleotide microRNA is filed under the name Oryza sativa (Asian cultivated rice). RNAcentral's name for it is "osa-miR5797". Lineage: Eukaryota; Viridiplantae; Streptophyta; Magnoliopsida; Poales; Poaceae. The record is from miRBase by way of RNAcentral.